UGCAACUUCGUACUUUCGAACACAGCGAUAAAGAAUUUCGUUAGGCAGGUUUCGAUCAAGGACGGUUAUCUGAGGAUCACCUUGCCCUGAUCUUUCACUUUAAUCUGACCCGUGGAAGAGGCAGGAGUUGUCCGUAAUUUCGACUCGCGACGUGAUUGGAAGUAAAGAUAGGCAGUGAUAGAACAUUUCGCUUUUUGAAAGUGCUACCCGUGUGCGACCGCAGUUCGUGCCUGCAAGUGUGCUGCGAGAGAUUCGCCACGGAACACGUCAUCGACAUCCUGCUACAUUGUCAGCGACUUCUUCUGACCCCACCGUCAGCUUCAAGGUUUCCCGGCCCGCUACAACGCCGGACGAGGGUA
This is a long non-coding RNA of Sabethes cyaneus, 359 nucleotides long. RefSeq lists it as uncharacterized. NCBI's taxonomy places the organism in Eukaryota, Metazoa, Arthropoda, Insecta, Diptera, Culicidae. The record is from RefSeq and is a predicted model, not a curated record. The transcript has 3 exons.